Myotis daubentonii (Daubenton's bat) is the source of this 5256-nucleotide long non-coding RNA. RefSeq lists it as uncharacterized. Lineage: Eukaryota; Metazoa; Chordata; Mammalia; Chiroptera; Vespertilionidae. The record is from RefSeq and is a predicted model, not a curated record. The transcript has 2 exons.
UAGAAAAUUCUCUUAAAAUCACAAUAAAACUAAAAAUAUAUACAUAUAUAUAUUUUUAAAAACGUAAGCAGUGGAAUCCAAUUAUGAUUCUAAUAAGGUAUAGUUUUAGGAUUUGUCUUAAAUCCUUAGUUGUAGAUGUUUAUAUUAAAAAGUGUAAAGUACUUCAUUCAUUGAUGAAUACUUAUUGAGCAUAUGCUAUAUGCUAGGUAAUAUUAGACUCCAAUGGAGGGGAGUAGGAAUACCAAGAUGGAUAAGACCUUCUUUUCCUUAGACACUCAGUGGGGAUUGGAGGAGGUAGAUCUGUAAAAAUAAUACAUUUUAGCAUGACAGAGACUUUAAGAGAGAGAUGAAAAAUAGAGAGGUUUUGAAUAGAAAAGGUAAUACUAGAUCACUUGGGUAAACUGUGAAAGGUACAUAAAGAAUUGACAUUUGGGCCCAACCGGUGUAGCUCAGUGGUUGAACAUUGAGCCAGGAACCAAGAGGCCACUGGUUUGAUUCCCAGUCAGGGCACGUGCCCAAGUUAUGGGCUUGGUCCCUGUGGAGGGCGUGCAGGAGGCAGCUAAUCAAUGUUUCUCUCUCAUCGAUGUUUUUAUCUAUCCCUCUCCCUUCCUCUCUAUCUCAAAAAGUCAAAAUAUAUUAUUUUAAAAAAGUGACAUUUGGGAUGGACUUUGAAUGAUGAAUGAAUAUAACCCUGUAAGCUGAGAAUUGGAGAAAGCAUAGGGAACUACAAGAACAAAGGCCCAGAGUUAGGAAAGGCCUUAGACCAGCGGUUCUCAACCUGUGGGUCGUGACCCCUUUGGCGGUCGAAUGACCCUUUCACAGGGGUUGCCUAAGACCAUCCUGCAUAUCAAAUAUUUACAUUACGAUUCAUAACAGUAGCAACAUUAUAGUUAUGAAGUAGCAACGAAAGUAAUUUUAUGGUUGGGUCACAACAUGAGGAACUGUAUGUAAAGGGCCAGAAGGUUGAGAACCACUGCCUUAGAGGAAAUAUUCAUGAAACUGAAAAAUUCUGCAUCUAAGAAGUACCGAGGUCUGUUUAUGUGAAAAUAAGUUAGAAUUUUAUCCUGUAGACCAGGGGUUGCAGACAAGUCAAACCUGGUUAGUAGUCUGUUUUUAUAAGGCCCACAAGCAAAGAAUGAUAUUCGCAUUUUUAUUUAUUUCCUUUGUAUUGAAUGUAUUGGGGUUACACUAGUUAAUAAAAUUAUAGAGGUUUCAGGGGCACAAUUCCACAACACAUUAUCUGUACACUGUGUUGUAUGUUCACCACCCCAAGUGAAGUCUCUGUCCAUCACCAUUUAUCCACCCUAUACCUUUACACCUUUCCCACCCCCUCCCUCUCCUGGCAAUCACACUGUUGGAUUUUUUUCAUUUUUGCUCAAUCCCUCCACCCUCCACUAGUUUCCUAACUGCCCCCUCCCCCACAACUGUCAGCCUGCUCUCUAUCUGAGUUUGUCUCUAUUUUUCUUAUCAUUCACAUUUUUAAAAUAUUGUUUUUAAAAAAGUAUCUCACCUGUCCAGGUGGCUCGGUUGGAGCAUUGUCCCAAAUACCAGAAGGUUGUGGGUUUGAUUCCUGGUCAGAGCACAUACCUAGAUUUCGGGUUUGAUGUCUGGUUGGAUGUGUACGAGAGGUAACCAAUCGAUUCCCCCCCCCCCCCCCCCCCGUCUCUCUAAAGUCAAGAAAAACAUCCUCAGUGAGGAUUUUUUUUUUUUAAUAUCUCAUCAUAUAGAGAUCUAUAAAUCUGUUCCUAACAGCUAGUCUUCUGUCUUACUUUCUCUGAAACUAUGAACCUGUUCUUUAUCUUAUAUGUGAACGCUUUCCCCUUUCUUUCUUGGUUUUCUUUUAUUCCCUGCAAGAACAAAGGCCCCAAAUUAGGAAAGGCCUUAGUUCAGUGGUUCUCAACUUGUGGGUCGUGACCCCUUUGGUGGUCGAACGACCCUUUCACAGAGGUCACCUAAGACCAUCCUGCAUAUCAGAUAUUUACAUUAUGAUUCAUAACAGUAGCAACAUUACAGUUAUGAAGUAGCAACGAAAGUAAUUUUAUGGUUGGGUCACAGCAUGAGGAACUGUAUUUAAAGGGCCAGAAGGUUGAGAACCACUGCUUUAGUUAGACUGAAUAUUCAGGAAACUGAAAGAUUCUGCACACAAUUGUGUGUUCACCACCCCAACACAUAAUCUGUAUACUGUAUUGUGUGUUUACCACCACCAUUAAUUUGUGGGCUGCCAGGUAUUGCUGAAAAACAGUACUAAUGUUCUGUUCUCAAAAUCAUUACUGUCUAACUUUGACCGUAUCCUUAUUUCUACUUAAAAAACUUUUGAGUCACUUCUUUCUGACUUUGACAAACACCUACAGAGGCUAUUCCAAAUUCUAAAAGCCCGUUUUCCAUCUUGUCAUUCUCUUCAAUAGAUGCUAUCUCUUUGUUUCCUAAGACUGAUAAAUUCAGUCAUUCCACGAAUUAAACAUCUGUAUUGUUUUAUAGGACACAAAAAGUCAGACCCUUAAGAACAGUUUACUCCAAUGCAGAAGUAAGGUUGGUUAAUAACACUAACAUAAUUCCACAUGAAAAUCUAUUUUCAACUUAGUAAUGGGUAAUCCUUGCUUGCCCUUGAAGUACUUGUUUCUUCUUUUCUGGCAUUGAUUUAAUGUUUUCCUGUUUUGCCUUGACUAUCAAAGUUUAUGUACAGCCCAAGCAACCAUGUUAAUGUAUAUGGUUAGCAUAUUUGCUUUCUUUUUUUUAUUGACUAUGUAUGAUUUUUCCCCUUAUUUUUUAAGCCAUUUCAGAUCAUUUUUUACAUUAUUUUUUUUAUUAUUGUAACUUUAAAGUAUUACGAAUAGUAGUACAUAUGUCUCCUUUUUUUCCCCAUUGACCUUCCUCCCAGCCUCCCCUAUCCCCCGGCUCAGAUAAUAUUUUGAUAGAAAGAAUGACAUUAAUAUAUUUAGACAAAUAUAUAUCUUAAACCCUUUGUAGAACAAAAUUGGGUAUGUAUGUUAAUUAAACGAUUAAUAUUAAUGAUUUAAUAAAACCACAGGACAGUGCAGUAUGGUAGAAAGGGAAGUCUUUGAAAUCAAACAAACCUAGUAAUACAAGAUAUAGCUUCUGCAGUUUAUCAGCUGUGUUACAUUGGGAUGAAAUUAUCUGUCUUUCAUGGACUGUUAAUAGGAAAAUUAGCAAUUAUGAAUCAAAAUGUUUAGCAGAGCAUGAACAUAGUACACGUUUAAUAUAUAAUUAUUUUUGUACAAGGUAGAAAAUGGUAAGUCUAAAAGAAUAUACUUGGUAAAGUGUGAUAGUAAUUAACAUGAAUCGAGAUUAGAGAUGGCUUUCUUAGAAGAAAAUUAGAAUUUAAAAGACAGUAGGAUUUGAACAUGCAGAGGUAAGGGAGAGGAAACUGGAAUGCCAUGAUUAAAAAUAUUGAAGCAAUAAAGUAUAAACCAGCUUAAUUAAAACAGAAGGAUCAUGGAGGAGAAUACUAGUAGUAUUAGGUAAGUUUGGUAAGGCAGGUUGGAAAAGAUUGGAGGAAAUUUAAAGGCCUAAUUUAUGAUUUAGUUAGUAGAUAGUAAAGAAUAUUUGAAGAUUUUUCAGUAUAGAAUAAGCUUAUAUAUGGUAAUACUAAUUUCCACUGCAUUUGCUAUGAAAAACUGAAUGAAGGUGAGGACUGGUGAUAGGGAUUAGACAGAUGAUACUCAAUAUUUUUAUGGAUAUAGAAGAACAGUAACACAUUAUUGGUAGUGUAAAUUGGUAUAACCAUUUUGGAAAACAAUUUGGCAUUAACUUUAAAAGUUGAAGAUAAUGGGCAGACUGUAUGUUCUAGAAAUUCUACCUUAGAUUAAACCCUAGAGACUGUUCAAAAAUAAUGUUGAAAACUCAUCUGUGUGUAAUAACAGAAUCAAUAAGAGAAAUUAAUGACAGCUAUACUUAGCAACAUGUAUGAAUGUAAAAAACAUGUUUAAUUAAAAAAAUAAGGUCACCAAAUAAGAAUUGUUUGAUACCAUUUAUAGCAAUUUCAAAAAAUAGAAUAUUUUAGGGAUAUGUAUAUGUGUAGUGCAAGACUAACGGGAAAAGAAGGACAAAGUUUGUGACAGAAGGGGAGGGAUAUGGAUAUGACUGGUAGAGGCACAUGGGGGGUGCCAAAAUAUGGUAAUGUUCGAAUUCUCCCCCCCCCCAUUAAAUUUAUUGGGGUGACAUUAUAUGGGUUUUAAGUGUACAUUUCUUUGAUACAUGAUCUAGAUAUUGCAUUGUGUGCCCACCACACAAAGUCAAAUCUACUUCUGUCACCAUAUAUUUGACCUCCUUUAUCCUCUACUACCUCCUCAACCCCUCCUUCUCUCUGGUGACCACUAUACUGUUGUUUGUGCCUAUGAGUUUCUGUUUGUUCUUGUAUGUUCAUUUGUUGUUCCCAGUUUUAUAUCCCACAUAUAGUGAAAUCAAAUGGUUCUUGACUUUUUCUGUCUGGUUUAUUUCACUUGGCAUGACAUUAUUGCAAAUGGCAGUAUUUCAUCUUUUAUGGCUGAGUAGUGUUCCAUUGUAUGUAUGUACCACAUCUUAUCCAGUCAUUUAUUGAGGGACACUUGGGUUGCUUCCAUGCAUUGGCCACAGUGAAUAACGCUGCAAUGAACGCGGGGCGUGUAUAUCACAGAUGCCUUUUUAAACCGUGACCUUCUGGUUCAUGGGCCAAAGCUCAACCACUUAGCCACAUGGGCUGGGCUAGAGGUGCAUUUAUCUUUGCAAGUAAAGGUUUUCAAACUUUUUGGGUAGGUACCCUGAAGAGAGGUUGCUGGGUCAUAUGGUAACUCUCUUCUUAAUGUUUUGAGGACCCUUCAUACUGUUUUCGGUGUUCAAAUUCUUAAUCUGCAUAUUGCAUUUUUUCUUUUAUCUUAACCUGUAUGAUUCAUACACACACACACACACACACACACACACACACACAUAUAUUUCUUUUGCAUGUAUGAAAUUUUCAUAAAUUAAGAAUUUCUCAUUAUGUCAUUGAGUGUAAUAGGAGAAAAAGAUUGAGGCUAUUUUAAAAAAUACUCUUUUUGCCGGAACCGGUUUGGCUCAGUGGAUAGAGCGUCGGCCUGCGGACUGAAAGGUCCCAGGUUCGAUUCCGGUCAAGGGCAUGUACCUGGGUUGCGGGCACAUCCCCAGUAGGAGAUGUGCAGGAGGCAGCUGAUCGAUGUUUCUCUCUCAUCGAUGUUUCUAACUCUCUAUCUCUCUCCCUUCCUCUCUGUAAAAAAUCAAUAAAAUGUAUUUUAAAAAAAAAAA